GACGAACGCUGGCGGCGUGCCUAAUACAUGCAAGUUGAGCGCUGAAGGUUGGUACUUGUACCAACUGGAUGAGCAGCGAACGGGUGAGUAACGCGUGGGGAAUCUGCCUUUGAGCGGGGGACAACAUUUGGAAACGAAUGCUAAUACCGCAUAAAAACUUUAAACACAAGUUUUAAGUUUGAAAGAUGCAAUUGCAUCACUCAAAGAUGAUCCCGCGUUGUAUUAGCUAGUUGGUGAGGUAAAGGCUCACCAAGGCGAUGAUACAUAGCCGACCUGAGAGGGUGGUCGGCCACAUUGGGACUGAGACACGGCCCAAACUCCUACGGGAGGCAGCAGUAGGGAAUCUUCGGCAAUGGACGAAAGUCUGACCGAGCAACGCCGCGUGAGUUAAGAAGGUUUUCGGAUCGUAAAACUCUGUUGGUAGAGAAGAACGUUGGUGAGAGUGGAAAGCUCAUCAAGUGACGGUAACUACCCAGAAAGGGACGGCUAACUACGUG
RNAcentral lists this ribosomal RNA (497 nucleotides) under uncultured bacterium. RNAcentral describes it as "partial 16S ribosomal RNA". It matches the Rfam family "Bacterial small subunit ribosomal RNA", at positions 28 to 507 of the family's 1533-position model. The record is from RNAcentral.